Molecule: RNA transcript, 4285 nt
Organism: Hirundo rustica (Barn swallow)
Lineage: Eukaryota; Metazoa; Chordata; Aves; Passeriformes; Hirundinidae
Gene: NR2C1
Gene name: nuclear receptor subfamily 2 group C member 1
Exons: 17
Source: RefSeq, a predicted model, not a curated record
GUAGAUAAAUUAACUAGCUUUAACUUUUCUCCUCAAUUUUUACUAAUAUUUCUGGGUUUCUUACUGGUUGUAUUUUCUUGUGAAAGGUACUCUUGAAGGGAACAAGUUUCAUGGGAGUUCUGAUAUCUUUAAGAAUAGUCAUAUUCCAGGCUAGAUUGCGGGAUAGGAAGGUUUUUUUUUGUUUGGGGUUUUCAUGGUUUUGGUGCUUUUUAAAAGUCUGCCCUAAUUUUUCCAUUUAAGGUUCUUAGCCUGUGAAGAGAAAGCCCUAAGCAACUUGUGUAACUCUGAAGCUGACAUUUUUGGGAGGGGAAAGGGGUUGAACCAGAUGACCUGCAGAAGUACCUUUUAAUGUGAAUUAUUUCAUGAUUGUAUUUUUAUUAAAGGUCAGGGGGAGCAGAGAGGUACGCAGGGAAUCAAAACCAAACAAAACCGCGCUCAUACUGUAGCGUACAGUUAAAUAGCUCACCUGUGAAAUGCAGCUACAGAAUGCUUAUAGCUAAUGUGGUAGUCCAGUGAAAACUGAUUUUGAUCCUUGAUGUGAAAUCUCAUAUUUACAAUAGUAAGAUUAGUUUGUUCCCUGUGCUUAUACUCAUUUUUUUGCUGUAAUUUAUCGUGCACUUAUUGUAUUGUGUAAUUAAAGUUUGUGCAGCCAGCGACUUUGCUGGAAUUUCCCUGCAGUUUGUGAAGGAAAGCACACCUCCCUAAAGAAAGUAAUUUGUGUCUCAUGUUUGGGUCAAAAAACCCUGAAAAAAAGCAGUACCUCUUGCUUAAAUAAGGAGUUUAACUGUAUGUAAGAACUAGAGCAGUGUCACAUCUUAACUUCUCCAUGUUUGUUCUGCUGGUGGACGAAGUGUGGCUCUCAGCGCGCAAGUGCUGCAGCUGGUACAGGGUGUGCGUGUCUGUCCUGCUUCAGCAGCCGUCCUGGCUUAAGCACUUCCAGUGGUAACCUUUGCUAACCUGGGUUACUUUGGCUGAUGAAGAUCAGGGAGCCCUCAGGCCUGUGUGAGUUUAGCAUCCCCUGUGAAGGAGCAGUAAACUGCUUGGGAGGGUUACCCACGUGCUCUGGCUUUCACAGCUCUCUGCUUUUUGACACAUACAGGCUGCAGUGUGCAAUCAACAGUGACCAUCAGGGGAAAUGAAACUGUACCUGGGUUACUUUCUGACAAAGUUUUUACUUUUUUUUUUUUCCCACUUCUCAGUGGUAGUUCAAGCUGCUUUUAGCGUUUAAACUUGUGCCUGUACAUUACUAGGAUAAAGUAACCUGCUGCAAAACAGAAUUGUGUCAGGAGAAUGUUAUGGAUCAAACUGUGAAGGCUUCAGGUGGAGAGGCGGCUAUGGCUGACAGUAGACAUUGACCUGGUUUAAGUGGUCUCCUUACCAGGAUCUGGCAUGUAGCCAGCGCUCCUGAAAUUCUGGUGAUUAAAGAUCAUGGCAACCAUAGAGGAACUGGCCCAUCAAAUUUUUGAACAGCAAAUGGGAGAGGUUGCACAUUCCCAGGAAGGUGGUGCACAAACACUAAUGGAUGGGACAUCACAACGAAUACAGAUUGUCCCUGCAGAUUCAGGCCUCUCUGUAUCACAGCGUAUACAGAUUGUCACAGAUCAGCAGACGGGCCAGAAGAUUCAGAUUGUUACAGCACUUGAUCAGAGCUCAGCAGGCAAGCAGUUCAUCUUAACAAAUCAUGAUGGCUCUACCCCAAGCAAGGUGAUCCUUGCCAGACAAGAUUCCACUCCAGGAAAAGUUAUCCUAGCAACUCCAGAUGCUGCAGGUGUCAACCAACUGUUUUUUGCAUCCCCUGACAUAUCUGCACAACACAUCCAGAUUUUAACAGACAACUCUCCCAAUGAACAGGGCCUAAAUAAAGUGUUUGAUCUAUGUGUUGUAUGUGGAGACAAAGCAUCAGGGCGUCAUUAUGGAGCAGUAACCUGUGAGGGAUGCAAAGGAUUCUUUAAAAGGAGUAUACGGAAGAAUUUAGUUUAUUCCUGCCGAGGAACAAAAGACUGUGUCAUUAACAAACACCACCGGAAUCGCUGUCAGUAUUGCAGGCUGCAGAGAUGCAUCGCCUUUGGGAUGAAACAAGAUUCUGUACAGUGUGAGAGGAAACCUAUUGAAGUGUCAAGAGAAAAAUCUUCAAACUGUGCAGCUUCUACAGAAAAGAUCUACAUUCGGAAAGAUCUUCGUAGUCCAUUAGCUGCAACCCCAACUUUUGUAACAGACAAUGAAACAGCAAGAUCAACAGGUUUGCUGGAAUCAGGAAUGUUUGUUAACAUUCAUCCAUCUGCAAUAAAAAGUGAGCCUACUGUGCUGAUGACUCCAGAUAAGGUAGAAGCAUGUCAAGGAGAUUUAAGUACACUGGCAAACGUGGUGACUUCAUUAGCAAAUCUCAGUAAAUGCAAAGACAUUUCACAAAGCAAUACGGAGCUAUCCGUGAUUGAGAGUUUGAGUAAUGGAGAUUCAUCAUUAUCUGAACUCAAGCAAGAAGAACAAGCUAGUAAUGACGUUACAAGGGCAUUUGAUACUCUUGCAAAAGCAUUAAAUCCAGGAGAGAGUGCAGCAUGCCAGAACUCUGAAAGUAUUGAUGCCAAUGCACAGCUGCUUGGUGGAGAAACAAGCAUGAACAUCGUUGAAAUAGAGGGGCCACUACUCAGUGAUGCUCAUGUAGCAUUCAGGCUAACCAUGCCUUCUCCUAUGCCUGAUUAUCUUAAUGUUCACUAUAUCUGCGAGUCUGCCUCCAGGUUGCUUUUCUUGUCCAUGCACUGGGCACGUUCCAUUCCAUCUUUCCAAGUUUUGGGACAGGAUAACAGCAUAUCAUUAGUAAAAGCCUGCUGGAAUGAACUUUUUACGCUUGGUCUAGCACAAUGCUCACAAGUUAUGAAUGUGGCAACGAUCUUAGCUGCUUUUGUUAAUCACCUUCAAGGCAGUUUACAACAAGAUAAGCUGCCAACAGACAGAGGAAGAUUAGUAAUGGAGCAUGUCUUCAAAUUGCAAGAGUUUUGUAAUAGCAUGGUUAAACUCUGUCUAGAUGGAUAUGAAUAUGCAUAUUUGAAAGCAAUUGUCCUCUUCAGUCCUGAUCACCCAGGUCUAGAAAAUGUAGUACAGAUUGAGAAAUUUCAAGAAAAAGCUUACAUGGAGUUCCAAGACUAUGUAACAAAGGCGUAUCCGGACGAUACUUACAGACUAUCCAGACUUCUUCUCCGAUUGCCUGCUCUUAGGCUGAUGAGUGCUGCCAUCACUGAAGAGCUGUUCUUCGCAGGACUAAUUGGAAAUGUUCAGAUUGACAGCAUCAUCCCAUACAUACUGCGAAUGGAGACAGCAGACUACAACUCUCAGAUCAUAGGUCAUGGUGUGUAAAAGUAGCAGUCCAGAUUCUGUACCAUGGCAAUCAUGGUGAUGUAAAUGCAUACCCUGUCUCCAAGAGAUGGUCAUAAACCUUCCAAUGCACCUUUCCAAAGAAGCCUCAUAUUCCUCCUUUCCAGUACACUUGGGAAACAUAGUGGAGUGUAUUAGGAUAUAGGAUCACUUCUGUUCUUCAUCUGUCUUCAAGGACUUGUAAAUUAACUUGAUAUCUGAAGAAAGUCAAGUAUUUGAUCUACCUGUUUUUGUAGGUAGAUGGACUUGGAAUAUUUAUGAAGUUCCGAUUCAUGAGGAAACUGAAGAAGCUUUGACUGAACUAAGAACUGUCUGCUGGACAUCCAGAGAACAAAUUGCCAUGCUCUGAACCUCCUGGCAAUACCAGCUCCCCAGACAAGAAAGAUGGUUGGCAAGAGACGUGAGCAACCAACCCUGUGGCUUUGGUCCUUUGCAGACCUGCAGUCUAAUCCCUUCUAACAAGCUGUUCAUGAGGUGUUUGAGCUCCUUUAUGAAGACUUCAGUUCUCCGUCAUCCUAGGGAGCAAACUGAACAGCCACACAGUUUGGCUAAUAAAGGCUACCUGAAGAACAGCUCCAAAAGGAAUUUUCCUUUCACUCUGUAACCAGGAGAAUUUUGCUACUGGAAAAUCAAAGAUGAAGGUAAAGUUACUGCUGGAGAAAUAACACAGACACUUCCCACAAAGCGGCAGGCGUUUUCUGAAGGUGCCAGUAAAUUUAUUAUUCUAGAGUUUUUGAGACCUAAACUGUUCUCACAGUUUAUAUACUCGAAUGUUUUUGAAAAUGGUGAAGUGUGUACUUUUUUGUUAACAUUUCAUUUCGUUCCAGGAGAUGAAGUUAUCUUCUAAAUUUUUCAAUCAAUAGAACCCAAGUGACAAAAACUUCUUCCACUGUGUUUUUGGGAAAUAUAUAUGGAU